GACGAACGCUGGCGGCGUGCCUAACACAUGCAAGUCGAACGGAAAGGCCCUGCUUUUGUGGGGUGCUCGAGUGGCGAACGGGUGAGUAACACGUGAGUAACCUGCCCUUGACUUUGGGAUAACUUCAGGAAACUGGGGCUAAUACCGGAUAGGAGCUCCUGCUGCAUGGUGGGGGUUGGAAAGUUUCGGCGGUUGGGGAUAGACUCGCGGCUUAUCAGCUUGUUGGUGGGGUAGUGGCUUACCAAGGCUUUGACGGGUAGCCGGCAUGGGAGGGCGACCGGCGACAUUGGGACUGGGUUACGGCCCAGACUCGUACGGGAGGCUGGAGUUGGGAAUAUUGCGCAAUGGGCGGAAGCCUGAUGGAGCAACGCGGCGUGCGGGAUGACGGCCUUCGGGAUGUAAGCCGCUGUCGCCUGUGACGGAGCGUGAGUGACGGGAAUGGGUAAAGAAGCACCGGCUAACUACGUGCCAGCCGCCGCAGUAC
This 484-nucleotide ribosomal RNA is filed under the name uncultured bacterium. Its description in RNAcentral is "partial 16S ribosomal RNA". It matches the Rfam family "Bacterial small subunit ribosomal RNA", at positions 28 to 523 of the family's 1533-position model. The record is from RNAcentral.